Molecule: long non-coding RNA, 536 nt
Organism: Danio aesculapii
Lineage: Eukaryota; Metazoa; Chordata; Actinopteri; Cypriniformes; Danionidae
Exons: 4
Source: RefSeq, a predicted model, not a curated record
CGGGAAGAAAGCGCGCCAUCUGAACGGAGACGCGGCCGCGCAAAUUUACUUCUCUGCUGUGAAGAGGAAACUCCACAUCUGUGAGUUGUUUGAUUCAAGAAUUUAAACGUGAAACUACCUGAAGCAAGAAGGCAUUUUCAAGCUCAAAUAUAUCUCUAUUACACUGAAGGAAUUCUCCCCUGACAGCUGGACGCUUUAUGAUUGCUGUGGAUCAGACCAUUGUGAACGAUGGUGUCACAAAUUGUGGUGAUGCCCUUCUGAUGAUGUUUGUGACCUACUACAGUCUCAACAUCAGUUAUCCAUUGGAAGUUGGUGUAACUCUGGAGUUCAUGCAAAGGUGCCUUUUCAAGAUAAAUCCAGACAGAGGGACCAAGGUGGAAAAGAAGCAAUCUAAAAGACAGCAGUCCAUUAAUCCCAAGGUUCUUUCUUUGAUUGCAAACAUUGCAAACUUUGAAUAGAGUAGAAUAGUAAGCUUGCAUUGCCAGUAUAUUUUUCUUUAUGCACAGUUUAAACUGUUCAUUCAGUUAUUAUUUUUU